AAUGAACGCUGGCGGCGCGCCUAAUACAUGCAAGUCGAGCGAGAAGACGUAGCAAUACGUUUGUAAAGCGGCGAACGGGUGAGGAAUACAUGGGUAACCUACCCUCGAGUGGGGAAUAACUAGCCGAAAGGUUAGCUAAUACCGCGUACGCUCCUUGGACUUCGGUUCAGGGAGGAAAGCGAUACCGUGGGUAUCGCGCUCUUGGAUGGGCUCAUGUCCUAUCAGCUUGNGGUGAGGUAACGGCUCACCAAGGCUUCGACGGGUAGCUGGUCUGAGAGGACGAUCAGCCACACUGGCACUGCGACACGGGCCAGACUCCUACGGGAGGCAGCAGUAAGGAAUAUUGCGCAAUGGGCGAAAGCCUGACGCAGCGACGCCGCGUGGGGGAUGAAGGUCUUCGGAUUGUAAACCCCCUUUCGGG
RNAcentral lists this ribosomal RNA (421 nucleotides) under uncultured bacterium. RNAcentral's name for it is "bacterial SSU rRNA". It matches the Rfam family "Bacterial small subunit ribosomal RNA", at positions 29 to 441 of the family's 1533-position model. The record is from RNAcentral.